UGCAACNGCGAAGAACCUUACCAGGGUUUGACAUGAUACGANUUUCUUUGAAANAAGAAAGUGCCGUUUGGAACGUAUACACAGGUGGUGCAUGGCUGUCGUCAGCUCGUGUCNUGAGAUGUUGGGUUAAGUCCCGCAACGAGCGCAACCCUCAUUUUUAGUNGCCUUUAUGGAACUCUAGAAAGACUGCCGGUUAUAAACCGGAGGAAGGCGGGGAUGACGUCAAGUCAGCAUGCCCCUUACACCCUGGGCUACACACGUGCUACAUUGGGCGAGACAAUGAGAUGCAAACCUGCGAAGGCUAGCUAAUCUAUAAACUCGUUCUAAGUUCGGAUUGUAGGCUGCAACUCNCCUACAUGAAGUNGGAAUCGCUAGUAAUCGCUGGUCAGCUAUACAGCGGUGAAUCCGUUCCCGGGCCUUGUACACACCGCCCGUCACACCAUGGGAGCUG
Molecule: ribosomal RNA, 451 nt
Filed under: uncultured bacterium
Lineage: Bacteria
Description: bacterial SSU rRNA
Rfam family: Bacterial small subunit ribosomal RNA
Source: RNAcentral